RNAcentral lists this ribosomal RNA (501 nucleotides) under uncultured bacterium. RNAcentral's name for it is "partial 16S ribosomal RNA". It matches the Rfam family "Bacterial small subunit ribosomal RNA", at positions 29 to 523 of the family's 1533-position model. The record is from RNAcentral.
AUUGAACGCUGGCGGCAUGCCUUACACAUGCAAGUCGAACGGCAGCACGGGUGCUUGCACCUGGUGGCGAGUGGCGAACGGGUGAGUAAUACAUCGGAACGUACCUUAUCGUGGGGGAUAACGCAGCGAAAGCUGUGCUAAUACCGCAUACGCCCUGAGGGGGAAAGCGGGGGAUCGAAAGACCUCGCGCGAUUAGAGCGGCCGAUGCCUGAUUAGCUUGUUGGUGCGGGAAAAGCCCACCAAGGCGACGAUCAGUAGCUGGUCUGAGAGGACGAUCAGCCACACUGGGAGUGGGACACGGCCCAGGCUCCUACGGGAGGCAGCAGUGGGGGAUUUUGGACAAUGGGGGCAACCCUGAUCCAGCAAUGCCGCGUGAGUGAAGAAGGCCUUCGGGUUGUAAAGCUCUUUUGUCAGGGAAGAAACACCGGCUCUAACACAGUCCGGGAAUGACGGUACCUGAAGAAUAAGCACCGGCUAACUACGUGCCAGCCGCCGCAGUAA